Molecule: ribosomal RNA, 1005 nt
Filed under: Eurrhacini sp. UPOL A00623
Lineage: Eukaryota; Metazoa; Arthropoda; Insecta; Coleoptera; Lycidae
Description: SSU rRNA
Rfam family: Eukaryotic small subunit ribosomal RNA
Source: RNAcentral
UUGUCUCAAAGAUUAAGCCAUGCAUGUCUCAGUACAAGCCAAAUUAAGGUGAAACCGCGAAAGGCUCAUUAAAUCAGUUAUGGUUCCUUAGAUCGUACCAACAUUUACUUGGAUAACUGUGGUAAUUCUAGAGCUAAUACAUGCAAACAGAGCUCCGACCGGAGACGGAAGGAGCGCUUUUAUUAGAUCAAAACCAAUCGGCGGCGUGCUCGUUCGCGGGCACGUCGUCGUUCGCAUUGACGAAUCUGAAUAACUUUCUGCUGAUCGCACGGUCUCGCACCGGCGACGCAUCUUUCAAAUGUCUGCCUUAUCAACUGUCGAUGGUAGGUUCUGUGCCUACCAUGGUUGUAACGGGUAACGGGGAAUCAGGGUUCGAUUCCGGAGAGGGAGCCUGAGAAACGGCUACCACAUCCAAGGAAGGCAGCAGGCGCGCAAAUUACCCACUCCCGGCACGGGGAGGUAGUGACGAAAAAUAACGAUACGGGACUCAUCCGAGGCCCCGUAAUCGGAAUGAGAACAAUUUAAAUCCUUUAACGAGGAUCAAUUGGAGGGCAAGUCUGGUGCCAGCAGCCGCGGUAAUUCCAGCUCCAAUAGCGUAUAUUAAAGUUGUUGCGGUUAAAAAGCUCGUAGUCGAAUCUGUGUCCCGCGCCGCCGGUUCGUCGCUCGCGGCGUUUAACUGGCGUGUCCGCGGGACGUCCUGCCGGUGGGCUUAGCCCUUUCGCGAGGGCGGCCCAAUUACAAUCCCGCCGCGGUGCUCUUUACCGAGUGUCGAGGCGGGCCGGCACGUUUACUUUGAACAAAUUAGAGUGCUUAAAGCAGGCUAAAACUUUGCCUGAAUACUUCGUGCAUGGAAUAAUGGAAUAGGACCUCGGUUCUAUUUUGUUGGUUUUCGGAACCCCGAGGUAAUGAUUAAUAGGAACGGAUGGGGGCAUUCGUAUUGCGACGUUAGAGGUGAAAUUCUUGGAUCGUCGCAAGACGGACAGAAGCGAAAGCAUUUGCCAAAGA